UGCUUGCAGGUUGCAAUAAUAAAAAAGAACAUCGCUUGCAAUGACUUCCAACACAACACCUGCCCAAAAAGAAAUUUUACUCGCCUACAUGCGCAAGUAUACUUCAAUGGCAACAAAUAGCCAAGCAGAGAGCUCAGGAAGGGACCCGAACAACAAACGGUGGGAAGCACUUACCUUAAAGCUUAACUCGAAUGGGCCCCCAUCAAAAAUUGUAAAGCCUGGAAGAAAACAUGGGCCGACUUUAAACACCGCACAAAGCAAAAACUUGAGGAGAAUAAAAACUCUCUACACAAAACUGGUGGAGGCCCAUGCAAGAAAAAGGAACUAACUCCGUUCGAGGAAGCUGUAGUAGAAUUAGCAAAAAUACGGACAGCAAUAUAUGGGAUAAACGACAUAAAGACAUUUAGUGCCGAUAUUCAACCGCAACCGCCUAUGAGCCAACCACCUACGCGCCAUUCGUCGUCCUCAUCUUCAUCAUGGGAGUCAAAGGAUAGUCUAGACAAUCUUGUCAAAUCCCUUGUGAGUUCAAAAAGUGAGGAGACUGUUCCUGCUGCUGUUCCGAUUUCUGUUGCUCUUGCGGAACAAACAAAUACUGAAAAGAACAUUUCACAAUCAUCUGCAUCUAAAGGAAUGAUGGACAAGCUGGAAAUGUUUAAGAACUCGGCAAGUUCCAGUGAAGACUUUUACAAAAAAGUCGUGGACGUAUUGUCAGAAAUACGAGAUCUCAAACGGAAGUAAAGAUUUUAAAACAACAAGCUUUAGA
Molecule: long non-coding RNA, 763 nt
Organism: Eupeodes corollae
Lineage: Eukaryota; Metazoa; Arthropoda; Insecta; Diptera; Syrphidae
Exons: 3
Source: RefSeq, a predicted model, not a curated record